UAAUGAGUCGUCCACAAGAACCACACCGACCGUUCUUCCAUUUCGGAAAUCCCUUUAAGAUGAUUGCACCAAAGGGUUCCCAGCUGUCUCCAAGGCUUCUUGGACUGUUGAACACUUUUGAGGAAACAUUAGCUGGGAGGCUAAGAAAGCUUAACCCAAAAGACAAGGAUGAUGUCCUCAGCUUGUCAUGGAUGAAAUUAGCUAUGGAGUCUCUCUGUGGAACUCAUAAUGACAUAAAAUCUCUCAUAGCUGAAAUCGAUCUCCCUGUGAGUAACUGGGAUGAGAAAUGGAUUGAUGUGUACUUGGACAUCAGUGUGAAGUUGCUCGAUGUAUGCAUUGCUUUUAGCUCUGAGAUCUCACGUUUAAACCAGGGGCAUCUUUAUCUUCAAUGCGUCUUGCAUAAUUUGGAUUCAACUUCUUCGGACCAAUUUAUUCGGGCCCGUUCUUCACUUGAUGGAUGGAGGCAUCAUAUUGGUUCAACAAACCCCAGAGUUGAGAACUGUAGCACCAUUUUGGACAAGCUUGUGGAAUCCCUUGACCUUCCGAAGGUUAAGAACUCAGCAAAAGGGAAACUUUUGAUGCGUGCUAUGUAUGGAGUUAAGGUGUUGACAGUAUCUGUUUGUAGUGUCUUUGCUGCCGCCUUUUCUGGUUCCGCAAAGAAGUUGUUAGACUUGAAUGUUGCAGAGACAUAUUUGUGGGCACAAGCGUUUAACGAUUUAC
This 720-nucleotide long non-coding RNA is filed under the name Malus domestica (apple). RNAcentral's name for it is "long non-coding RNA (MDOM_LNC018506)". Lineage: Eukaryota; Viridiplantae; Streptophyta; Magnoliopsida; Rosales; Rosaceae. The record is from RNAcentral.